AAACUUUCAACAACGGAUCUCUUGGCUCUGGCAUCGAUGAAGAACGCAGCGAAAUGCGAUAAGUAAUGUGAAUUGCAGAAUCCAGUGAAUCAUCGAAUCUUUGAACGCACAUUGCGCCCGCCAGUAUUCUGGCGGGCAUGCCUGUCCGAGCGUCAUUU
Molecule: ribosomal RNA, 158 nt
Filed under: Apiosordaria backusii
Lineage: Eukaryota; Fungi; Ascomycota; Sordariomycetes; Sordariales; Lasiosphaeriaceae
Also listed under: 2 other names
Description: 5.8S ribosomal RNA
Rfam family: 5.8S ribosomal RNA
About the family: 5.8S ribosomal RNA (5.8S rRNA) is a component of the large subunit of the eukaryotic ribosome. It is transcribed by RNA polymerase I as part of the 45S precursor that also contains 18S and 28S rRNA.
Source: RNAcentral